Molecule: long non-coding RNA, 368 nt
Filed under: Helianthus annuus (common sunflower)
Lineage: Eukaryota; Viridiplantae; Streptophyta; Magnoliopsida; Asterales; Asteraceae
Description: hypothetical non coding rna
Source: RNAcentral
GGCAAGGGGCGACCCCCAUUGUUCCAAAACCCUAAAGUCACAAUUUCUUGCAAUUGGAGGCUCAAAUCAUAACCAAAACGAAAUCCAAGCUUAGAAUUGUGUCCCUCAUCGCAAGAGGAUUAAGAGGCAAAGAGUCCGGUUCAUCUAGCGGACAAGCCGAGGGGAAUUCACGAGGAAAAGGCGCGCUUUAAAGUUGUGUAGAUGUUUUUCAGGUACUCAAGUGAAGGAUGAUGAUCAAGCAGUUGAUUUGGACCGAACACCUAACUUUACGCUUCCGCACUUGAACCUCGUUUUGUUAUUUUGUAAACUCUAGUAGUUUAUCUUGGAACAUUGUUGUAGUUUAAACAUGUAAAUGUUUUAUCAAAUGG